Long non-coding RNA from Strigops habroptila (Kakapo), 847 nucleotides. RefSeq lists it as uncharacterized. The record is from RefSeq and is a predicted model, not a curated record. NCBI's taxonomy places the organism in Eukaryota, Metazoa, Chordata, Aves, Psittaciformes, Psittacidae. The transcript has 5 exons.
CCCACCCGCGGGCCGGGCGGACGAUGGCCGCCUGCCAGGCCGACACCAUGCGGCCCUCGAGCGAGCCGGCGCGGCGCAGCGUGCUCAGCAGAGAGGGGGAGAGGUGCCACAGCGCCGACAGGGACAGCUCGGGGCCCAGCAGGCACAGGACAGGUGGAGUUUCCACAUCAACAGAAUCGAAGCUGCUCAUGAGGAACCAUGCUAUUUGCUCUCCAUAAACUGCUGGUGUUCAGUCUGCGUGCACAAUUCUGUCAGAGGACUUGAAUGGGACUGCAAGGUGGGAGAAAGCAGCAGAGCUGGGAACAGCACGUGGAUGUCCUGAGUCAACCCAAGGAAAUCCAGACAGACACAGCCAUACAACCAUCAGCACAGUGACACAGGCAUAUGUGAAGUUGAAAUUCACGCUGCAGCAUCCAGACGGUGCCUCAAGCUGGCUGCACAUUCCCAGAAAGGAAGAACCCCCCCUCCAGCCUACCUGCAGAAUGACCUUUCUCCUGACGCCGACUUGCAGCUCAGGAGCUUUUGUGCUGUGAGAGGCAGGGAGAUGAAAUGUUUUCCUCUUCAGUAUAUACAGAAGAGUCUGGAGCUGAGCUGCUAUCUCCCCAACUGUAAAAGUACAGUGUUUGUUUGUGUUCCAUUGCCUGCUUUGAGGAAAACAGUGGUCAUGAGAUCAGACAUCAGCCUCGGGGUGAGUGUAGAUACCACCCACACCAGCUCUUCCAACACGCUGCAACCUACGUCUGGUUCUCUCUGUGCUUGUCUGUCCCUCGCAGCCCUGCUGCAGGCUCUGGUAGGUGUACAAGGCAUAAACCUGAGUUCUACAGGACUCGGGUAUUUCACCCCUCAA